AUGAGUUGUUUAAGCUGGAACUGCCGGGGGCUUGGGAACCCAGCGACAGUUCGUGAGCUUCGCAAUAUUGUGAAGUAGGAAGGGCCCGUUCUCCUGUUUGUGAUGGAGACGAAGAUUUCUGCACAAAGAGUGGAGGGUUUGAAACUCCUACUAGGGUUCGCUGGUUGCUUCGCAGUAAGCAGUGUUGGCCUUAGUGGGGGGUUGGUAUGUUCUGGUCUGGGGAACUGGACGCAGAUUUGA
RNAcentral lists this ribosomal RNA (240 nucleotides) under Triticum aestivum (bread wheat). RNAcentral describes it as "partial small subunit ribosomal RNA". Lineage: Eukaryota; Viridiplantae; Streptophyta; Magnoliopsida; Poales; Poaceae. The record is from RNAcentral.